UUUUGAAUGGGAAGACCCAGCAGGAGGCACCAAACAACAGCUCACCUGGACUCCUCCCGCAGGAUUUAAGAAUUCCCUAACCAUCUUUGGGGAAGCCUUGGCUUCCGACCUGGACUCCUUCCAGCCAGAGAAGUUCAGAUGCUGGUUGCUACAAUACGUGGACGACUUGCUGUUGGCUGCCAAGAAUGGUGAAGACUGCUGGGAAGGAACCAAGGCUUUCCUACAGCUAUUGUUGGAGUCUGGCUCCCGAGUCUGAAAAAAGAAGACACAGAUCUGCAAAGAGGAGAUGGUUCAACACAGGGAUCACUCUGAAAACAUCUGAACCAAUACAACCAGAAACCAGAAGAUUAGUGGAAACAACAACAACAACAACUGUGGUGUGAUGACAGACCUCGGGAUAUUAAAAAUGUGAUGCACAAUUAUUUUGGAAAGAGAAUUGCCCAAGGGUAGAAAAAUGCCCAGAAGCAACUUGAUAUUAAAGAAAAUAUGCUAUUUUUUAAAUCUGUAUGAGCUUGGGAUUCAGUGUUAAUUUCUUCUUUAAAGAAGAUAUAUUUGUGGCUGAAAUAUGUGUAUUACAUGAACUAAGAGAGUAACAUAUUCUUUCUAAGAAAAAAACAAACACACACAAGUAAGAUGACUAGGAGGAAGGGACUACUGAAAGAGUCCUUGAUAGUGACAAGCUGGAGAUCACUGACAUUGUAUCAUAAAAAUAAAGGAAGUGCUUCCUAGAUUUUACUAGCAAA
This 743-nucleotide long non-coding RNA is filed under the name Capra hircus (goat). RNAcentral describes it as "lncRNA (ENSCHIG00000004322.1)". The record is from RNAcentral. Lineage: Eukaryota; Metazoa; Chordata; Mammalia; Artiodactyla; Bovidae.